AGAGUUUGAUCCUGGCUCAGAUUGAACGCUGGCGGUAGGCUUAACACAUGCAAGUCGUGCGAGAAAGUAUCUUCGGAUAUGAGUAGAGCGGCGGACGGGUGAGUAACGCGUAGGAAUCUACCUAGUAGAAGGGGAUAGCCCGGGGAAACCCGGAUUAAUACCGUAUACCUCCUUCGGGAGAAAGAAGGCCUCUCUUUGAAGCUUUCGCUAUUAGAUGAGCCUGCGUAAGAUUAGCUUGUUGGUGAGGUAAAGGCUCACCAAGGCGACGAUCUUUAGCUGGUCUGAGAGGACGAUCAGCCACAUUGGGACUGAGACACGGCCCAGACUCCUACGGGAGGCAGCAGUGGGGAAUAUUGGACAAUGGGCGCAAGCCUGAUCCAGCCAUACCGCGUGUGUGAAGAAGGCCUUCGGGUUGUAAAGCACUUUAAGCAGGGAGAAAAAGUUAUAAGUUAAUACCUUAUAACCUUGAUGUUACCUGCAGAAUAAGCACCGGCUAAUUCCGUGCCAGCAGCCGCGGUAAUACGGAAGGUGCAAGCGUUAAUCGGAAUUACUGGGCGUAAAGCGCGCGUAGGUGGUUUGUUAAGUUGGAUGUGAAAGCCCUGGGCUCAACCUAGGAACUGCAUCCAAAACUAACUCACUAGAGUACGAUAGAGGGAGGUAGAAUUCAUAGUGUAGCGGUGGAAUGCGUAGAUAUUAUGAAGAAUACCAGUGGCGAAGGCGGC
This 722-nucleotide ribosomal RNA is filed under the name uncultured bacterium. RNAcentral describes it as "bacterial SSU rRNA". It matches the Rfam family "Bacterial small subunit ribosomal RNA", at positions 8 to 725 of the family's 1533-position model. The record is from RNAcentral.